This 21-nucleotide microRNA is filed under the name Arabidopsis lyrata. RNAcentral's name for it is "aly-miR869-3p". Its record names the gene aly-miR869-3p. The record is from miRBase by way of RNAcentral. Lineage: Eukaryota; Viridiplantae; Streptophyta; Magnoliopsida; Brassicales; Brassicaceae.
CCUGGGUUUGAGAUAAUUGAC